CCGGUCCUACGGGGCGCAGCAGUAGGGAAUAUUGCUCAAUGGGGGAAACCCUGAAGCAGCAACGCCGCGUGGAGGAUGAAGGGUUUCGGAUUGUAAACUCCUUUUGUUAGAGAAGAUAAUGACGGUAUCUAACGAAUAAGCACCGGCUAACUCCGUGCCAGCAGCCGCGGUAAUACGGAGGGUGCAAGCGCUACUCGGAAUCACUGGGCGUAAAGAGCGCGUAGGCGGGAUAGCAAGUCAGAUGUGAAAUCCU
This 253-nucleotide ribosomal RNA is filed under the name uncultured bacterium. RNAcentral describes it as "partial 16S ribosomal RNA". It matches the Rfam family "Bacterial small subunit ribosomal RNA", at positions 333 to 603 of the family's 1533-position model. The record is from RNAcentral.